Chiloscyllium plagiosum (whitespotted bambooshark) is the source of this 345-nucleotide non-coding RNA. NCBI's taxonomy places the organism in Eukaryota, Metazoa, Chordata, Chondrichthyes, Orectolobiformes, Hemiscylliidae. The record is from the annotation of a RefSeq genome assembly.
GUGCAAAUGCCCCAGUCCGUCUCCAGUCUCCGAUCCUGGAACGUGUCACUGAGGGUCACACUGCCCGGUUACUGUGCACCCUGAGGAACGCCGCAAUGACAAACACCGAUGCUUACUGGUACCGGGAGCAAGCAGGAGGAAGGACGGAGUGGAUUUUGAUACAUUCUACGUUGAAUGACGUACAAUGGUACCCAGGAUUCACUGAGCGAUUCCAGUCUUCCAGAGACUCCUCUGGUAGCAACUUCAUUCUGACCAUCACAAAUGUGCAGCCCAGUGACAGUGGAGUCUAUUACUGCUCAGUCUGGAGAAGUAUCCCUGGUGGAGGAAGCCUGCUCAUUGUAGACA